RNAcentral lists this transfer RNA (69 nucleotides) under Leptobrachium ailaonicum (Yunnan mustache toad). RNAcentral describes it as "tRNA-Glu". It matches the Rfam family "tRNA". Rfam says of the family: Transfer RNA (tRNA) molecules are approximately 80 nucleotides in length. The record is from RNAcentral. Lineage: Eukaryota; Metazoa; Chordata; Amphibia; Anura; Megophryidae.
GUUUUUAUAGUUGAAUUACAACAGUGGUUUUUCGUAUCACAGGUCUUGGUUAAAAUCCCGGUGGGAACU